This 510-nucleotide ribosomal RNA is filed under the name uncultured bacterium. RNAcentral describes it as "partial 16S ribosomal RNA". It matches the Rfam family "Bacterial small subunit ribosomal RNA", at positions 28 to 507 of the family's 1533-position model. The record is from RNAcentral.
GACGAACGCUGGCGGCGUGCUUAACACAUGCAAGUCGAACGAAGAGCGAUGGAAGCUUGCUUCUAUCAAUCUUAGUGGCGCACGGGUGAGUAACGCGUAAUCAACCUGCCCUUCAGAGGGGGACAACAGUUGGAAACGACUGCUAAUACCGCAUACGAUCUAAUCUCGGCAUCGAGGAUAGAUGAAAGGUGGCCUCUACAUGUAAGCUAUCACUGAAGGAGGGGAUUGCGUCUGAUUAGCUAGUUGGAGGGGUAACGGCCCACCAAGGCGAUGAUCAGUAGCCGGUCUGAGAGGAUGAACGGCCACAUUGGGACUGAGACACGGCCCAGACUCCUACGGGAGGCAGCAGUGGGGAAUCUUCCGCAAUGGACGAAAGGCUGACGGAGCAACGCCGCGUGAGCGAUGACGGCCUUCGGGUUGUAAAGCUCUGUUAAUCGGGACGAAAGGCCUUCUUGCGAAUAGUGAGAAGGAUUGACGGUACCGGAAUAGAAAGCCACGGCUAACUACGUG